Molecule: ribosomal RNA, 372 nt
Filed under: uncultured organism
Description: bacterial SSU rRNA
Rfam family: Bacterial small subunit ribosomal RNA
Source: RNAcentral
CGUAGGUGGCAAGCGUUGUCCGGAAUUAUUGGGCGUAAAGGGCGCGUAGGCGGUCCCUUAAGUCAGAUGUGAAAUCCCGAGGCUUAACCUCGGGCGUGCAUUUGAAACUGGGGGACUAGAGUGCAGGAGAGGUAAGUGGAAUUCCUAGUGUAGCGGUGAAAUGCGUAGAUAUUAGGAGGAACACCAGUGGCGAAGGCGACUUACUGGACUGUAACUGACGCUGAGGCGCGAAGGCGUGGGGAGCAAACAGGAUUAGAUACCCUGGUAGUCCACGCUGUAAACGAUGGAUACUAGGUGUGGGAGGUAUCGACCCCUUCCGUGCCGCAGUAAACGCAAUAAGUAUCCCGCCUGGGGAGUACGGCCGCAAGGUUG